RNAcentral lists this ribosomal RNA (939 nucleotides) under Hapalopilus rutilans. Its description in RNAcentral is "LSU rRNA". It matches the Rfam family "Eukaryotic large subunit ribosomal RNA", at positions 38 to 964 of the family's 3401-position model. Lineage: Eukaryota; Fungi; Basidiomycota; Agaricomycetes; Polyporales; Phanerochaetaceae. The record is from RNAcentral.
GCAUAUCAAUAAGCGGAGGAAAAGAAACUAACAAGGAUUCCCCUAGUAACUGCGAGUGAAGCGGGAAAAGCUCAAAUUUAAAAUCUGGCAGCUUUGGCUGUCCGAGUUGUAUUCUGGAGAAGCGUUUUCUGUGCUGGACCGUGUACAAGUCUCUUGGAACAGAGCGUCAUAGAGGGUGAGAAUCCCGUCUUUGACACGGACUACCAGUGCUUUAUGAUGCGCUCUCAAUGAGUCGAGUUGUUUGGGAAUGCAGCUCAAAAUGGGUGGUAAAUUCCAUCUAAAGCUAAAUAUUGGCGAGAGACCGAUAGCGAACAAGUACCGUGAGGGAAAGAUGAAAAGCACUUUGGAAAGAGAGUUAAACAGUACGUGAAAUUGCUGAAAGGGAAACGCUUGAAGUCAGUCGCGUUUGCUAGUACUCAACCUGUCUUCUGACUGGUGCACUUACUAGUACACGGGCCAGCAUCAGUUUUGGCUGCGGGAAAAAGGUUGGAGGAAUGUGGCACCUUCGGGUGUGUUAUAGCCUCUGGUCAUAUACCGUGGCUGGGACUGAGGAUCUCAGCACGCCUUUAUGGCGGGGGUUCGCCCACCUUCGUGCUUAGGAUGCUGGCGUAAUGGCUUUAAACGACCCGUCUUGAAACACGGACCAAGGAGUCUAACAUGCCUGCGAGUGUUUGGGUGGAAAACCCGAGCGCGUAAUGAAAGUGAAAGUCGGGACCUCUGUCGUGGAGGGCACCGACGCCCGGACCAGACCUAUUGUGACGGAUCCGCGGUAGAGCAUGUAUGUUGGGACCCGAAAGAUGGUGAACUAUGCCUGAAUAGGGUGAAGCCAGAGGAAACUCUGGUGGAGGCUCGUAGCGAUUCUGACGUGCAAAUCGAUCGUCAAAUUUGGGUAUAGGGGCGAAAGACUAAUCGAACCAUCUAGUAGCUGGUUCCUGCCGA